UCUGAACAUACAAGGAAACUAUAAUCUCCUCCUUCACCUUAUCGAUCUCUUCCUUAUAAUAAUUCAACCAUAUUAAUAAUUACUAUUUCCACCAAUAUAUUCACCCUCAUAAUCUCCAACUGUAAUACUGCGCCCUCACAGCUUUUAGCAUACAAUUAUAGUCGUUUCAAUCACUGGAAUUCUUCACACUGAACUGCCAUUCACAUUACAAUAUUUCACACAAACACAGACUCAUUCUCUCUGUUGAACUAUAAUCAAAUUUCAGCAUUCAAUCUUUCUUCUUUUCAAAUAAUACCAAUUACAUUUCCAUUCCAUAAUUCAUUUCAUAAUAUUCAGAAACUCUCAAUCCUCUUAUUCAAAGAAAAUCACAAACAAAAAAAAGAGGUAGCACCAAGCUUACCCCGGCUCACACUAUCAUAGCAAUGGCCUUUGACUCGCAACUAUCACAGUUUGGCCCUCGGCUUACGACUCUCACACUCUGGCACCCUAAUUAACUUCUACAACUCCUAUAUAUUUUCCCCUGAUUCUCAAGAUUCUAAUCAUAAUUUUAUAAUUAACUGCUUUUAAUAACUAAAUCACUCAUCUGUCCUCCUAAAUAUCCUAUUAUAUGGACUAAUAAUAUAUUUUACCAAUAUCUUUCAAAAAUGAAUUAAUAUCUAUUCUACAUAGCCCUACUCCUAUCUGUGCAGCAUCCUCGCAAACACUCAAUUGAUACCUAUCUAAAAAUUAUCUAACAAAACUCUACAAAAAUUGCGAUCCCUUUGGCCUAUCUAAUUAAUCAAUUGCCGCAUUAUCUGUUAUUGGUUCCAUCGAUUCCAAUUCCAACUACAAAUCUUUGUCCUCUUCCAAUCCUUCCAUCGGCUCGUGCUUCAACUAAGCUGAAAGGUCUUCAUUGUACUCGCCCAAUUCAUGGACUUGACCUUCCAAUUUCAGGAUUUGGGCAUCUCUCAAUUCCAAUUGUUACUACUGCUGACUCAUCCAUUCUGGAAUAUCUUCAAUCCACACUUGUGACCGACUCUCACUGUUAAUUCUUAACUAAAACUACUACUCUCAAAAACCCAAGAAAUACAAUAAAAUGGCACUCCAGCCAACCCAAAACAACACCACAGAAUGACUUCAACUCGUGCCUCACUCCUAUUCUUUUACCUAGUAGUGAUAACGACAACAUGUUAUCCCUACUCUCCGUGAAAGGUAAUGAGAAGUAAUCUUUCUUAAUGGCCACAUUUAACUUUCAAAAAACUUGAAACCUUGUUGAUGCCUCGAUAGUCCACGCACAUCCGCAACGAGCCAUCUUUCUUCUUCACAAAUAAGAUGGGUGCUCCAGCUGACGAUUUUGAAUGACGGAUGAAGUUCUUGGCUAGAUUCUUGUCGAUGUACUUCCGCAACUCCACCAAUUCAAUCUGCGAUAGAUUGUAGAUUGGGCCAAAAGGCGGUUGUGCUCCUUCCUUUAAGUCUAUGGUGCAAUCAUAUGGUCUGUGUUCUGGUAGCAUGUCGGCAUUUUUCUUUUGAAAUACGUCUUUAAAUUCCUUAUAUUGCUCCGGUAUACUUGUUGUUGAGAUCUUCUCCCUGGUAGUUGGAGCCGCAUAAAUGACAAACGAUGUGCCUCCCUUGGACAAUCUUAUAAAUGCUCUUGCUCCAAUAAAUAAGGAUUUCUCUAUUCGGGGUUUUCUACUAGGCUUGCUCUUGGGUGGUUUUGUGGGAAAGGUCAUCUUCCGCAACUUCCAAUCUAUGGAUGGGUUAUGCUUUUCCAACCAGGAAAGACCAAGAAUAAUAGGAUUUGAUGGGGUUUUAAUAAUAUUGAAAAUAAUAUGACUACUAUGGUCCUUAAACGUCACUUCUAUAGGUUUUGAUUCAUGGGUGACACUACCAGACAAUAAAGGUCGUCCAUCUAUGACCUCAACGUGAACAGGUUUGGAUUUUUGUACUAAAAGGAUCUUAUGAUGCUUUGCAAAUUCUUCAUCUAAAAAACAAGCAAAUGCUCCUGAAUCUAAUAAUGCUAAGGUUCUCAGUUUCUAAGGGUCAAUAAGCAAAGGGAUUGUAAAACAAAGGGCAGGUUGAGUAGAAAGAAAGGAACCAGGUUGUUGUUGCGAUAUUUCACUGUCCAGCCGCACGGUUCCUAUUGUGGCUGGGCAUCCUCGUUUUCCUGAAUAAAUGUACACCUAGUCUUCAUAAUACGUCAAUUUUGCUUCUUGGGGCAGUUUCCAACUUUGUGGCCUUCUUCAUCGCAAUACAAGCAUAGACCUUCCUCUAUACGCCGCUUUUUUUCUUCUAGAGUAAGAGAUUUGACACAUACCGCAUCAAUUUGCAUGUCUUCUACCUCUGAAUGUAUAUUCACGCUGCUUGCCAACAUAGUUAGGGUGUGGCGAACCGUAUGUUGUCUUGAACGUUGGUCUUGGUGACGUUGGAAUAGGCGAUUAUCGCACUUCACAGCUUGGCUAAUAGCUUCGUUGAGCGUUUGCCGAUCAGGAAGAAUUAACAACAAAUCCUUCACAUCGUCCCUUAAAUUCCAAUAGAAUUGACUCAUCAACGCUUCUUCGUCCCAAUUGAUGUCACAUGCUAAUUGCCUGAAGUCCGAUGCAUAGACAGAUGUAGAACGCAUCCCUUGUCGUAGUGACCGGAUCUUUGUUGUAGCCCAUCAAACCUUAUCGUGUUCACCAAAUGCUUCCGCAAAUGCCUCCAAAAAGGUUUCAAAGUUGUUUAGUAUGGACGAUCGUUUCUCAAACAAAGGAGCAAACCAUGAUAGAGCUUGUCCUGUAAGUAAGGUUCCAACAAGCCCAAUACGUGACUCCUCUGUUGGAUAGCGUUCGGGCUGUAAAACUGUUAUCAACCUGAUUUGGUUGACGAAUCCUCGAAACUUGGAACGUGUACCAUCAAACUUGUCCGAAAGGCUAACUCGGGGUACCUCAUGUUGUAGAACCAGCGGUGCUUGUCGAACCUGAGGCAAAGUUGCUUCUCCAAGUGUAGAAGUUUGAGGCAAGUGUAACUUAGAUUGUGCCAUCCCAGAUGCUCCAUCAUUAUGAAGCCUUGCCACGACUCCUUCAAUCUCUGCAGUUCUUUGCGAUAACAUAGCGAGGGCAUUCAUGAUAGCAUCUAACUUGGACUCUGAACUUUCCGUCAUACUAAUGUCUUAGCCCCCGAUCAUUCUAAGAGAAGGACAGAAAUGACUCUACAAAAAGACAAUAUUGGUUUAGAGGAGGGUACUCUGCAAUAUCUAAAAUGCCUUAAGAGCUUCAAGAAAAGGGGUAAUCCACUCUCUCCAAGAAGAAUAAGACUCCAAUAUUGUAACAAAAAAAGUAUCAAUUUAGAAGAGGGUAAUCUGCAACCUCUAAAGUGCUAGUACACUUCCAAGAAGAGGGGUAAUCCACACUCUAACAAAGAAGAAACUAACUCUGAUAACUGAGGUGAGUGUAUUCUCGACAAACUGUCACGGACACAGAAAUAUAGACUUGAGAUCUAACAAGAAGUUCAAGAAGAACUAGCAAGACUAGAUUAAUCAGAUGAGAACAACACUAAAGAGGUGAGCUAUAGCUCCAAGAGAUGUAUUGUCGAGACUGAAGAACUCUUUAGCCUCGAUCCCAAUAUAUACUUCUAUUUAGGAAGCUUCUCAAGCAACUUCUACCAACUAGGAAGCUUCUAGAAGGUUCCAGAGACUUGCUUCUAGAAGGUUCUAGAAACUUAUCUCGAGAAGGUUCUAAGGACUAUGUCCCUAACAUCUUCUACCAACUAAGAAGCUUCUAGAAGGUUCCAGAGACUUGCUUCUAGAAGGUUCUAGAAACUUAUCUCUAGAAGGUUCUAAGGACUAUGUCCCUAACAUCUUCUACCAACUAAGAAGCUUCUAGAAGGGUCCAGAGACUUGCUUCUAGAAGGUUCUAGAAACUUAUCUCUAGAAGGUUCUAAGGACUAUGUCCCUAACAUCUUCUACCAACUAAGAAGCUUCUAGAAGGUUCCAGAGACUUGCUUCUAGAAGGUUCUAGAGGCUUGUCUCUAGAAAGUUCUAGAAACUUGUCUCUAGAAGGUUCUAGAAACUUGUCUCUAGAAGGUUCUAAGAACUAUGUCCCUAACAGAAGCUUCUAGGAAGCUUCUAUAUUAAAUAUUAUAGAAUUAACUUAUUUUUACCUAUUUUUACUUACUUCUACCUAUUUAAUUACUAGCUUAUAUGAGUACGACUGUGACAUUACAUCGUCUUGAAGGUUGUGACAAUCAUAUUGUCUCAUUCGAUAGGUCAGCAAAUGUAAGCCCUUGAGUCAAAUCCACUAGUUGUUGGUUCUCUAUUUCUUCAAUAUCACAAGUACAAAGAAGCUACAAACAAGGAUUGAAAGUAGAAUGUUAUCUUACUUAGAUCUUUUUUUUUUGUAAGAAAGAUUUUCAUCUUGAUUUUGAUGGAUGUCAUCGAUGAAAAGCCUCCACCACCUUUGCUACAUUUGUAAGAUUCUUUACUGGCUGCCAUGUGCAUUCACUAAUAUCAUAUCCGCAUCAAUGGAUAAGAUAUUCUACUUUAUUUUGGUGCCACCUUAAAUCUAAGACUUCUUCCACUUCAAACUCUUUAUUAUUGUCCACUUCUACAAGAAGAAGUGGAGCUUGUCUUCUUCUUGGUAUGUCCACUGUCUUGUAUGGUUCAAAACGAGAUACAUGGAAUAUUGGAUGGAUUUUCAUUGAUUCUUGUAGAUGUAAAGGAUAUAUAACUGGAUUGAGUUAUACAAAAAUAGAAAAUGAUCCAAGCCUUCGAUAGUCCAACUUGUCACAAGGACGAGUGAUCUUGAUAUUGCAAUAAAGUAAUCAUACCUUAUCAUCCAUGUAGAAUGGUGGUUGUUCCUUUCGAUAGACAUCCACAUUGACCUUUUGUUGUUCUUGAGCUUCUUUUAACUACGCCUUUAUUGUUGCAUGUAGCUCUCACAAAUAAAUUUUCAAAUCUUUUGCAGCAGGAUUAUCAACUUUUGAAAAGUCAAAAGUAUCAAGUCAUGGAUGAUAACCAUAAUUAGCAAAGAAAGGUAUUUUUUUUGUAGAAGAAUGUACUGUGUUAUUAUAAGUAAAUUGUGUUAAUGGCAAAAGAGUUGUCCAAUCAUCUUGUUGGUUGUUAAUGGUACAUCUUAAAUACUGCUCCAAAACUUGAUUAACAUGCUCUGUUUGUCCAUCAAUUUGAAGAUGGAAUGCCGAAGAUAGUUUUUAAUCUACUUUUAGAAUCUUGAAAAGAGUCUGCCAAAAUCAUGAUACAAAUUAAGUUUCCCUAUCUGAUAUAAUAUCCUUGGAUAAUCUAUGAUAGCGAUAAAUGUUGUCAAGAAAGAGCUUAACUGUUUCUUCACCUAUAAUAGAUUUUGUACAUGGUACAAACUGUGUCAUCUCGGUAAAAUGAUCCACUAUCACGAAUAUAGAGUCAUAAGAACUUGAGAUUGGAAGAUCCGUGAUGAAAUCCAUAAAAAUAAAAGACCAUGGUUGUUUUGGAAUAGAUAAUGGCUGAAAAAGUCAAUAAGGUCGAUGACAAGGAGUUUUUGAUCUUGAGCAAACAUCACAAGAUUUUACUAAAUCUUUGACUGCUUUCUACAUUUGUCGCCACCAAAAGUCCUUGGAUAUUAGUUCCAAAGUUUUAUUAUAUCAAAAAUGUCCUACUGCUGGAAAGUCAUGACGAGCUUGAAGAAUUCAUAAUCGAGCUUUAUCUUCUAGAACAUAUAGGCAUCUCUUAAAAAUAUACUAGAUUCUUCUUGAAUUCAAACAUGAAAGUAUCAUGAGACUUUGAAGGAUUUUUCUUAAUAUCACAAAUAAGAGGAUCAGAAGACAUACUUCAUUGAACUUACUUAAUGAAAGUUGAAUCAAUAGUUAGUGUUGAUUUCAUUGCUCAUAGAUGAAGAUGCUCUGGCUUCAAGAGAAUUGUUCGUUGUUUAUGAAAAGCAACAUCUCUUUCCUUUGGUGCAAGAUAAGAUCAUUUAGAGAGUGCAUCUCACAAACCAUAUUAUUUUCCUGGUUGAAAAGUGAUCUUGAAUUCGAAUCUUGACAAAGACAUACUUUAACAGGCUUGGCGACGAUUCAAAUCAUGUGUCGAUGUAAAAUAUUCAAGCUUCUUGUGUUUCGUAUACAUUGUGACUAGGCUAGAAGCACCUUCUAGAUAAUGGCACCAUUCUUGAAACAAAUCCAUAAUUACAAAAAGUUCUUUGUCAUGGAUCUUGUAGUUGAUCUCGGCUAUUAAAAAUUUUCUGGAAUGAAAAGCUAUUAGGUGAAGUUUAUCAUCUGUUUCCAUUUGUGAUAAUACGAUAUCUAAAGUAAAGUGUGAUGUGUCUAUUUUCACAAAAAAAUGGCUUAGAAAAAUUGACGCGAUACAAGAUUGGUGCAGAAACAUAGGCUUUUGCUUCAUGAUUCCAUUGAAGUUUUUCUUUACAAGUCAAACGUAUAAGUGGAGCUGCAACUUGAGAGAAGUCUUUAAUGAAGAUCCGAUAGUAGUUGGCAAAUCCUAAAAAGCAUUGGACAUACAAAUAACAUUGGAGCUCUUGUUGGAGAUUUGGAAUGGCGUAUGAAGUUCUUGACCAAAUUCUCUUCAAUAUACUCAAUGAUGUAUCCUAAGAAGUCGAUAAAUUGUAGAUUGGUCCAAAUGGCAGUUGUAUUCCUCCUUCAAGGUCAAUUGAGCACUCAUAGCAAUGAUGUUCUGGAAGAAUAUCUGCAUUCUUUUUCUCAAAUACAUCUUGAAAAUCAUAGUAUUGGCUUGGAAUGCCACCUGAAGUCUUUUCAUCAAUAGAAACAGGUGUGGCAUUGUGAUUGCUCAUUUUUCUUAUUCCGAAAGAAACCUCCCAACAUAAAUCCAUAUUGGGAGAUUCGAACAUGGAGAAUGACUAGUUGCUUAAGUGUUCACAUUAGGGUCACACAAUCAUUUAUCUCCUAAAUGUAUCAUCUCUAUUUUCAAUAUCUGAACAUACAAGGAAACUAUAAUCUCCUCCUUCACCUUAUCGAUCUCUUCCUUAUAAUAAUUCAACCAUAUUAAUAAUUACUAUUUCCACCAAUAUAUUCACCCUCAUAAUCUCCAACUGUAAUACUGCGCCCUCACAGCUUUUAGCAUACAAUUAUAGUCGUUUCAAUCACUGGAAUUCUUCACACUGAACUGCCAUUCACAUUACAAUAUUUCACACAAACACAGACUCAUUCUCUCUGUUGAACUAUAAUCAAAUUUCAGCAUUCAAUCUUUCUUCUUUUCAAAUAAUACCAAUUACAUUUCCAUUCCAUAAUUCAUUUCAUAAUAUUCAGAAACUCUCAAUCCUCUUAUUCAAAGAAAAUCACAAACAAAAAAAAGAGGUAGCACCAAGCUUACCCCGGCUCACACUAUCAUAGCAAUGGCCUUUGAC
RNAcentral lists this long non-coding RNA (7322 nucleotides) under Physcomitrium patens. RNAcentral describes it as "long non-coding RNA (PPAT_LNC010406)". The record is from RNAcentral. Lineage: Eukaryota; Viridiplantae; Streptophyta; Bryopsida; Funariales; Funariaceae.